This 1899-nucleotide ribosomal RNA is filed under the name human gut metagenome. Its description in RNAcentral is "bacterial LSU rRNA". It matches the Rfam family "Bacterial large subunit ribosomal RNA", at positions 1 to 1979 of the family's 2925-position model. The record is from RNAcentral.
UGAAGUAAGUAAGGGCGUACGGUGAAUGCCUUGGUGCCAACAGGCGAAGAAGGACGCGGCAAGCUGCGAAAAGCCUCGGGAAGCUGCAAGCAAGCGAUGAUCCGGGGAUAUCCGAAUGGGGUAACCUGAUCGAGGCAAUACUCGAUCGUUCAUACCUGAAUACAUAGGGUAUGAAACGCGAAACCCGCUGAAGUGAAACAUCUCAGUAAGCGGAGGAAAAGAAAGAGAAAUCGAUUCCGUAAGUAGUGGCGAGCGAAAGCGGAUGGAGCCCAAACCGAAGGUAUUCCUUCGGGGUUGUAGGACCACGUCAUAUUCGACCAUACUGGAUAGUAGAACAGCCUGGAAAGGCUGGCCGGAGAAGGUGAAAGCCCUGUAGACGAAAUCCAGAGUGGGAAUUAGUGGUAUCCUGAGUAAUACAUCACACGUGGAACGAUGUAUGAACCCGCGCGGACCACCGCGCAAGGCUAAAUACUAGUUGGCGACCGAUAGUGAACAAGUACCGCGAGGGAAAGGUGAAAAGAACCGCUGUGAGCGGAGUGAAAUAGAACCUGAAACCGUAUGUCUACAAAGUGUCAGAGCAGAGCAAUCUGCGAUGGCGUGCCUUUUGUUUAAUGAGUCUGCGAGUCAGUGUUUGUGGCAAGACUAAGGGCUUCCGGCCCGGAGUCGCAGCGAAAGCAAGUCCGAACAGGGCGCAAUAAGUCGCAGGUACUGGACCCGAAGCGGAGGUGACCUACCCUUGGCCAGGUUGAAGCAUGGGUAAAACCAUGUGGAGGACCGAACAGGUGAACGUUGAAAAGUUCUCUGAUGAGCUGAGGGUAGGAGUGAAAGGCUAAUCAAACCCCGUGAUAGCUGGUUCUCUUCGAAAUGCAUUUAGGUGCAGCGUCACGUGCUGAUGCGCGGGGGUAGAGCACUGACAAGGCUAGGGGGCACACCCGCUUACCAAACCUUAUCAAACUCCGAAUACCGUGCAAUGGAACGUGGCAGUGAGACAGUGGGGGAUAAGCUUCAUUGUCGAGAGGGAAACAACCCAGACCAGCAGCUAAGGUGCCUAAAUAACGCUCAGUGGAAAGGAUGUGGGAUUACACAGACAGUGAGGAUGUUGGCUUAGAAGCAGCCACCAUUUAAAAAAUGCGUAAUAGCUUACUCAUCGAGUGAUCCUGCGCCGAAAAUGAUUGGCGAUCAAGCGUUAUACCGAAGCUCUGGACUUUGCCGCAAGGCAGAGUGGUAGAAGAGCGUUGCAUGCGCGUCGAAGGGCGAUGGCGACUGACCCUGGAGCACAUGCAAGUGAGUAUGCAGACAUGAGUAACGUUAAGCCGGGUGAAAUCCCCGGCCGCCGUAAACCCGAGGUUUCCAGGGCAACGUGUUUCGUCCCUGGGUUAGCCGGGACCUAAGCCGAGGCCGAGAGGCGUAGGCGAUGGACAUCAGGUUAAUAAUCCUGAGCUCGCAACCCUUAAACUGGGGGGACGCAUGAGAAAAGAUGACUAGGUUAUUGAAUUCCGAGUUGAGUCCACGGACUCAGCGCAUCAUUGGAUCGAGUGCCAAGAAAAGCCCCAGCGUAUGCUAAGCGACCCGUACCGCAAACCGACACAGGUGGGUGGGUAGAAUAUACCAAGGCGUAAGAGUGAAACCUGGUUAAGGAACUCGGCAAAUUAGCCCCGUAACUUCGGAAGAAGGGGUGCCUGCAGCGAUGCAGGCCGCAGAGAAAUGGCCCAACCGACUGUUUAUCAAAAACACAGCACUCUGCAAAGACGCAAGUCGAAGUAUAGGGUGUGACACGUGACCAAUGCCGAAAGAUUAAGGCAAGGGGUUAGCCGCAAGGCGAAGCUCUAAACCCAAGUCCCGGUGAAUGUCGGCCGUAACUAUAACGGUCCUAAGGUAGCGAAAUUCCUUGUCGGGUAA